UGAUUGACUUUUUUUUUUAUACAACUCCCAGGUAAAAAAGUAGUAUACUUUAGUGUGUUAGAAAUAUGAUUAAAGUACAUGAAGUAUAAAGCAAGUAUGCUUACACGUUUUGUACUUUAUGUAAAGUAUGUUUAAUGAGUACUUUUAGAAAGUAUACU
This is a long non-coding RNA of Alosa sapidissima (American shad), 158 nucleotides long. RefSeq lists it as uncharacterized. The transcript is spliced from 4 exons. Lineage: Eukaryota; Metazoa; Chordata; Actinopteri; Clupeiformes; Clupeidae. The record is from RefSeq and is a predicted model, not a curated record.